UACGGAGGGGGCGAGCGUUAUUCGGAAUCAUUGGGCGUAAAGGGCGCGUAGGCGGCCCGGCAUGUCAGGGGUGAAAUCCCUCGGCUCAACCGAGGAAUUGCCUCUGAAACUGCCAGGCUUGAGUCCGGGAGAGGGUGGUGGAAUUCCCAGUGUAGCGGUGAUAUGCGUAGAUAUUGGGAGGAACACCAGUGGCGAAGGCGGCCACCUGGACCGGUACUGACGCUGAGGCGCGAAAGCGUGGGGAGCAAACAGG
RNAcentral lists this unclassified non-coding RNA (253 nucleotides) under uncultured Acidobacteriota bacterium. Its description in RNAcentral is "uncultured Acidobacteria bacterium contains 16S-23S intergenic spacer region". It matches the Rfam family "Bacterial small subunit ribosomal RNA", at positions 524 to 776 of the family's 1533-position model. The record is from RNAcentral. Lineage: Bacteria; Pseudomonadati; Acidobacteriota.